Molecule: ribosomal RNA, 253 nt
Filed under: uncultured bacterium
Lineage: Bacteria
Description: partial 16S ribosomal RNA
Rfam family: Bacterial small subunit ribosomal RNA
Source: RNAcentral
UACAGAGGGUGCGAGCGUUAAUCGGGAUUACUGGGCGUAAAGGGUGUGUAGGUGGUCAAUUAAGUCAGGUGUGAAAUCCCUGGGCUUAACCUAGGAAUUGCAUUUGAGACUGAUUGACUAGAGUGUGGUAGAGGGAAGUGGAAUUUCCGGUGUAGCGGUGAAAUGCGUAGAUAUCGGAAGGAACAUCAGUGGCGAAGGCGACUUCCUGGACCAUUACUGACACUGAGGCACGAAAGCGUGGGGAGCGAACAGG